RNAcentral lists this ribosomal RNA (596 nucleotides) under uncultured delta proteobacterium. RNAcentral describes it as "bacterial SSU rRNA". It matches the Rfam family "Bacterial small subunit ribosomal RNA", at positions 97 to 671 of the family's 1533-position model. Lineage: Bacteria; Deltaproteobacteria. The record is from RNAcentral.
GGCGCACGGGUGAGUAACGCGUAGGUAAUCUACCCUUAUGACUGGGAUAACAUUGGGAAACUGGUGCUAAUACCGGAUACACUUUUUUACUGCGGGGUAAAGGAGGAAAGGUGGCCUCUUGGUCAAAGCUACCGUAUAGGGAUGAGCCUGCGUACCAUUAGCUAGUAGGUGGGGUAACGGCCCACCUAGGCGACGAUGGUUAGCGGGUCUGAGAGGAUGAUCCGCCACACUGGAACUGGAACACGGACCAGACUCCUACGGGAGGCAGCAGUGAGGAAUAUUGCGCAAUGGGGGAAACCCUGACGCAGCGACGCCGCGUGAGUGAGGAAGGUCUUCGGAUCGUAAAGCUCUGUCAGAAGGGAAGAAGUGUUACAUGUUUAAUACGCAUGUAAUUUGACGGUACCUUCAGAGGAAGCACCGGCUAACUCCGUGCCAGCAGCCGCGGUAAUACGGAGGGUGCUAGCGUUGUUCGGAAUUACUGGGCGUAAAGGGCGCGUAGGCGGCUGGAUAAGUCAGAUGUGAAAGUCCAUGGCUCAACUGUGGAAGUGCAUUUGAAACUGUCCGGCUUGAGUAUCGGAGGGGAGUGUGGAAUUCCC